Camelina sativa (false flax) is the source of this 723-nucleotide non-coding RNA. The record is from RefSeq and is a predicted model, not a curated record. Lineage: Eukaryota; Viridiplantae; Streptophyta; Magnoliopsida; Brassicales; Brassicaceae.
CCACUGCUUGGAUACAGCCUUGAAUCUUAGCAGAGAUUUCGCCGGAGCUCUCUCGAGUAUGUGCUCUACUACAUGGUGAGGUUAAGGAGGGCAAAAUAAAUCGGACCACCAUCAACAACAUUCCUUACUCGCAAGUAAAAGGUUGAGGAAGACAUGUUCUCUGACUAUGACGAGGGCAUAAACAGCCCCUUAAACUAUAGUUCCGAUACCGAAGAUGAGGCUGAGACCUGUUACUAUGAACCGCAACCAUCAACCGAGAUUGGACCACUACAUAGUCUGUCGAACCGUGAAGCUGAACCACUACCUAGUCUGUCAAACCGUGAUGCUCAACCCAAGGACGAAGUGAUCCAACUCAAGGACCAAGUGAUCCAGCUCAACGACCAAAUGAUCCAGCUCAAGGUACUUGUGAUCCAGCUCAAAGAUCAAGUGAUCCAGCUCAAGGACCGAGUGAUCCAGCUGACGGACAAAGUGAACCAGCUCAAGUAAAUUAUUGUGUUGGAUAAUUGGGUUGUUGUUGCUUCCGUAUGGUCUUGAAAAGAUGUUUGGUUGUUGUUGUUUCUUUUGGUGUUGCAACCCGUGAUAUUGGUUGUUGUUGUUUCUUUUCGAAUUAUGAACCCGUGAUGUUUUGUUUGGAAUUUUGUUUAGGCUAGGUUGAUAUGUUUAGUUUGGUGAACCCGUGAUGUACUCUGUCGUGAACCCGUGAUGUUUUGUUUGGAAUUUGCC